CCUACGGGAGGCAGCAGUGAGGAAUAUUGGUCAAUGGGCGCUAGCCUGAACCAGCCAAGUAGCGUGAAGGAUGACUGCCCUAUGGGUUGUAAACUUCUUUUAUAGGGGAAUAAAGUGCAGUAGGUAUACGGCUUUGCAUGUACCUUAUGAAUAAGGAUCGGCUAACUCCGUGCCAGCAGCCGCGGUAAUACGGAGGAUCCGAGCGUUAUCCGGAUUUAUUGGGUUUAAAGGGAGCGUAGGCGGGUUGUGAAGUCAGUUGUGAAAGUUUGCGGCUCAACCGUAAAAUUGCGGUUGAUACUGGCAUCCUUGAGUACCGUAGAGGUAGGCGGAAUUCGUGUUGUAGCGGU
Molecule: ribosomal RNA, 347 nt
Filed under: uncultured bacterium
Lineage: Bacteria
Description: partial 16S ribosomal RNA
Rfam family: Bacterial small subunit ribosomal RNA
Source: RNAcentral